RNAcentral lists this transfer RNA (85 nucleotides) under Termitomyces sp. J132. It matches the Rfam family "tRNA". From Rfam's summary of the family: Transfer RNA (tRNA) molecules are approximately 80 nucleotides in length. Their secondary structure includes four short double-helical elements and three loops (D, anti-codon, and T loops). RNAcentral also lists the same sequence under 1 other name. Lineage: Eukaryota; Fungi; Basidiomycota; Agaricomycetes; Agaricales; Lyophyllaceae. The record is from Rfam by way of RNAcentral.
CCGACCUUAGCUCAGUUGGUAGAGCGCAAGACUGUAAUGGAUACUUUCCAUCUUGAUGUCGCCUGUUCGAUCCAGGCAGGUCGGA